Molecule: ribosomal RNA, 305 nt
Filed under: uncultured bacterium
Lineage: Bacteria
Description: partial 16S ribosomal RNA
Rfam family: Bacterial small subunit ribosomal RNA
Source: RNAcentral
GUUUGCCUACGGGGGGCAGCAGUGGGGGAUAUUGCACAAUGGGGGGAACCCUGAUGCAGCGACGCCGCGUGGGUGAAGAAGCGCCUCGGCGCGUAAAGCCCUGUCAGCAGGGAAGAAAAUGACGGUACCUGAAGAAGAAGCCCCGGCUAACUACGUGCCAGCAGCCGCGGUAAUACGUAGGGGGCAAGCGUUAUCCGGAUUUACUGGGUGUAAAGGGGGCGCAGACGGCGAUGCAAGCCAGGAGUGAAAGCCCGGGGCCCAACCCCGGGACUGCUCUUGGAAACUGGAGGACUGGAGAGCAGGAG